CAGAGAAUAGUUUAAUUAAAAUAUUAGUUUUGGGGACUGAUGAUGGAGUUUAUUACUUUUUCUCUGA
RNAcentral lists this transfer RNA (67 nucleotides) under Ephemera sp. XL-2019. Its description in RNAcentral is "tRNA-Pro". The record is from RNAcentral. Lineage: Eukaryota; Metazoa; Arthropoda; Insecta; Ephemeroptera; Ephemeridae.